GACGAACGCUGGCGGCGUGCCUAAUACAUGCAAGUCGAACGCUUUUUCUUUCACCGGAGCUUGCUCCACCGAAAGAAAAAGAGUGGCGAACGGGUGAGUAACACGUGGGUAACCUGCCCAUCAGAAGGGGAUAACACUUGGAAACAGGUGCUAAUACCGUAUAACACUAUUUUCCGCAUGGUAGAAAGUUGAAAGGCGCUUUUGCGUCACUGAUGGAUGGACCCGCGGUGCAUUAGCUAGUUGGUGAGGUAACGGCUCACCAAGGCAACGAUGCAUAGCCGACCUGAGAGGGUGGUCGGGCACACUGGGACUGAGACACGGCCCAGACUCCUACGAGAGGCAGCAGUAGGGAAUCUUCGGCAAUGGAAGAAAGUCUGACCGAGCAACGCCGCGUGAGUGAAGAAGGUUUUCGGAUCGUAAAACUCUGUUGUUAGAGAAGAACAAGGAUGAGAGUAAAACGUUCAUCCCUUGACGGUAUCUAACCAGAAAGCCACGGCUAACUACGUGCCAGCCGCCGCAGUAA
Molecule: ribosomal RNA, 523 nt
Filed under: uncultured bacterium
Lineage: Bacteria
Description: partial 16S ribosomal RNA
Rfam family: Bacterial small subunit ribosomal RNA
Source: RNAcentral